AGUCGAGCGAACGUAUUUGCGGAAGUUUUCGGAUGGAAGCGGAUGCGACUUAGCGGCGGACGGGUGAGUAACGCGUGGGUAACCUGCCUCAUACAGGGGGAUAACAGUUAGAAAUGACUGCUAAUACCGCAUAAGCGCACAGGACCGCAUGGUCCGGUGUGAAAAACUCCGGUGGUAUGAGAUGGACCCGCGUCUGAUUAGCUGGUUGGCGGGGUAACGGCCCACCAAGGCGACGAUCAGUAGCCGACCUGAGAGGGUGGCCGGCCACAUUGGGACUGAGACACGGCCCAAACUCCUACGGGAGGCAGCAGUGGGGAAUAUUGCACAAUGGGGGAAACCCUGAUGCAGCAACGCCGCGUGAGUGAAGAAGUAUUUCGGUAUGUAAAGCUCUAUCAGCAGGGAAGAAAAAAGACGGUACCUGACUAAGAAGCCCCGGCUAACUACGUGCCAGCAGCCGCGGUAAUACGUAGGGGGCAAGCGUUAUCCGGAUUUACUGGGUGUAAAGGGAGCGUAGACGGCAUAGCAAGUCUGAAGUGAAAGCCCGUGGCUCAACCGCGGAACUGCUUUGGAAACUGUUAAGCUGGAGUACUGGAGAGGCAAGCGGAACUCCUAGUGUAGCGGUGAAAUGCGUAGAUAUUAGGAGGAACACCAGUGGCGAAGGCGGCUUGCUGGACAGAGACUGACGUUGAGGCUCGAAAGCGUGGGGAGCAAACAGGAUUAGAUACCCUGGUAGUCCACGCGGUAAACGAUGAAUGCUAGGUGUUGGCGGGCAAAGCCCGUCGGUGCCGCCGCAAACGCAUUAAGCAUUCCACCUGGGGAGUACGUU
RNAcentral lists this ribosomal RNA (826 nucleotides) under uncultured bacterium. Its description in RNAcentral is "bacterial SSU rRNA". It matches the Rfam family "Bacterial small subunit ribosomal RNA", at positions 60 to 886 of the family's 1533-position model. The record is from RNAcentral.